RNAcentral lists this ribosomal RNA (274 nucleotides) under Bacillus sp. CM1.1. Its description in RNAcentral is "partial 16S ribosomal RNA". It matches the Rfam family "Bacterial small subunit ribosomal RNA", at positions 96 to 357 of the family's 1533-position model. The record is from RNAcentral. Lineage: Bacteria; Bacillati; Bacillota; Bacilli; Caryophanales; Bacillaceae.
CGGCGGACGGGUGAGUACACGUGGGUAACCUGCCUGUAAGACUGGGAUAACUCCGGGAAACCGGGGCUAAUACCGGAUGCUUGAUUGAACCGCAUGGUUCAAUCAUAAAAGGUGGCUUUCAGCUACCACUUGCAGAUGGACCCGCGGCGCAUUAGCUAGUUGGUGAGGUAACGGCUCACCAAGGCGACGAUGCGUAGCCGACCUGAGAGGGUGAUCGGCCACACUGGGACUGAGACACGGCCCAGACUCCUACGGGAGGCAGCAGUGGUCAUAG